UACGGAGGGGGCUAGCGUUGUUCGGAAUUACUGGGCGUAAAGCGCACGUAGGCGGCUUUGUAAGUUAGAGGUGAAAGCCCGGGGCUCAACUCCGGAAUUGCCCUUAAGACUGCAUCGCUAGAAUUGUGGAGAGGUAAGUGGAAUUCCGAGUGUAGAGGUGAAAUUCGCAGAUAUUCGGAAGAACACCAGUGGCGAAGGCGACUUACUGGACACAUAUUGACGCUGAGGUGCGAAAGCGUGGGGAGCAAACAGG
This 253-nucleotide ribosomal RNA is filed under the name uncultured bacterium. RNAcentral describes it as "partial 16S ribosomal RNA". It matches the Rfam family "Bacterial small subunit ribosomal RNA", at positions 524 to 776 of the family's 1533-position model. The record is from RNAcentral.